UGGACGUGGGAAAAGACCUUCACUGGCCACGUGGCCUUUCCCAGACCUCUCCUCUCGAAUGCCACAAAACUGGUCCAGCCCUGGCAGAGCCGCCUUCGGCCCUUGCAGCUCCUGCUGGCCCCACAACAGGGAAGCAGUUUGCAAAGUGGCUCGGAAGGAGUGUGGCCUAGGGAUCUGCUAUAAGUGGCCGGACGUAGCAGGAGCGCCCAGUGUCACCUUCUGGUCCUGGUCAGCCUUAACACUGUGGCAUCCUCCACAGCACACACGGCGACGUGCAGUCUGGAAGGCGGACCCGAGCCUUUGCAGAGAGGCGCCACAGAGCCGCAGGCCUGCACAGCAGCCCCAGCCUUCUGCUUCUGACUGUGAGGACACCCAGUUCUAGUAGAGCACUUUUUUUAAAGCUCUCAUUUUGUAACCACUAGUUUGCAGUUGAUCUGAGUACUCUGGUGACUUGCUGCGUGAAGUGUUCUCCAGCUGUGAGAAUAUGUGCAGCUCCAGGCAGGUUUCCCCUGAAGGCAGGGAAGCAGGAUGGAUACACGUAUAUCACACACAUCAAACGGCAGGCGCGGGAGCAGCCCAGACUCAAGGCUGACUAAACUGGAGGCUGAAUACCGUGGAGGUCCACAUGCAGCUUCCCUGGAGGGCAGUCCGGAGGCGCUCCCGCCCCUGGGCUUGAGGAUGCCGCACCCCGUGGGCUUCCAGGCCUGCCCACAUGAUGCCUUCAGGCCUUUGCCCCUGGCGGCCAUCCUCAGGCCGAUUUUGACCAGCAGUGAUAGACUCUUCUUAACCCUUUCAAAAUAAAUUUUUCAGUGGGACAGGAAGGAGAGUUAAAAAACAUUUUUUUAAAGGUAGUAACAUCUGACCCACAAAGGGAAUGGGUCUGUUUUAUGCGAAAUAAAAGUUUUUCAAAUAAA
Nomascus leucogenys (northern white-cheeked gibbon) is the source of this 914-nucleotide RNA transcript. RefSeq lists it as uncharacterized. The transcript has a single exon. The record is from RefSeq and is a predicted model, not a curated record. NCBI's taxonomy places the organism in Eukaryota, Metazoa, Chordata, Mammalia, Primates, Hylobatidae.